AACGAACGCUGGCGGCAUGCCUAACACAUGCAAGUCGAACGAGAUCUUCGGGUCUAGUGGCGCACGGGUGCGUAACGCGUGGGAAUCUGCCCUUUGGUUCGGAAUAACAGUUGGAAACGACUGCUAAUACCGGAUGAUGACGAAAGUCCAAAGAUUUAUCGCCAGAGGAUGAGCCCGCGUAGGAUUAGCUAGUUGGUGUGGUAAAGGCGCACCAAGGCGACGAUCCUUAGCUGGUCUGAGAGGAUGAUCAGCCACACUGGGACUGAGACACGGCCCUGACUCCUACGGGAGGCCGCAGUGGGGAAUAUUGGUCAAUGGGCGAAAGCCUGAUCAAGCAAUGCCGCGUGAGUGAUGAAGGCCUUAGGGUUGUAAAGCUCUUUUACCCGGGAUGAUAAUGACAGUACCGGGAGAAUAAGCUCCGGCUAACUCCGUGCCAGCAGCCGCCGUAA
Molecule: ribosomal RNA, 449 nt
Filed under: uncultured bacterium
Lineage: Bacteria
Description: partial 16S ribosomal RNA
Rfam family: Bacterial small subunit ribosomal RNA
Source: RNAcentral